Molecule: long non-coding RNA, 15257 nt
Filed under: Homo sapiens (human)
Lineage: Eukaryota; Metazoa; Chordata; Mammalia; Primates; Hominidae
Description: non-protein coding lnc-SEPT9-3:14
Source: RNAcentral
AGAACAAAGGCCUGGAGACUGGAGCGAGCUGCGUUCUUGGGGGUGGGGGGUGGGGCGGCAGCUGGAGAGUGGGGGCUUCCCCAGCGGGAGAGGGAGGACGAUUCUGGAUGGCUUCCCUCCUUGUGGACAGAGUGAGUCUCUGCUAUGAGAAAGUAGAGACGGGGUUUCACCGUCUUAGCCAGGAUGGUCUCGAUCUCCUGACCUCGUGAUCCGCCCGCCUCGGCCUCCCAAAGUGCUAGGACUAACAGGCGUGAGCCACCGCACCCGGCCAAGCUGGAUCUUAAGCUUGCUUACCGGUGACUUGUUGACCUCAUCUUGGCUCAAAGAAGACACGGCCCCAGGUGAGUGCCUGGAGGUUAUUUCCCAUGUGAUGCCUGUUCCAGGGCAGGAAUGUUAGCUCUGUGCUGGCCACCAGAGAAGAAACUGGUGGCCUGGUGACCGCCAGGCCUCUGCCUGCAAGGCUAAAGACCUCUGACAGAUAUUAGGGGGCAGGAUGUGAGUUCAGAUGGAAGCAGUCGGAUCUUCCUGACCCUGCCUUACCUGGCAGUAUCCACCUGCAGCCUCUGCACCUCCUGCCCAGCUGCCAACAACACCUGUGAGCCUGACGGCGUGCCCCACCCCCUCCCCAGGUGGGCGGUCUACGGCAGGCCCCGCCCACCAGCUCUGGCGCAUGCGGCAUGGCCUCAGCGUCUCCCUUCCUGAGCGGACGGCCCACCCCGGAAUUAGCCUCUUCUCUCCCAGGUCUGUGCAAUGCCCAGCUCCUCCUCUCCUGGCCGGCCUGGUCUCUCUUCUGGUCCCUUUCCUCACCGGGCUUUGGGGUUCUAGGGUCCUUGAAGAGAUGGAGACCAGUCAGCCAACUUCAAGGUGGAGGAGUUUGGCUGGAACGAGCAGGUGUGUCUAGUUGGCUGGUGCUAGGGAAAGGGGAGGGCCCUGCAGGGGCGUUGCACCUGUGGAGUAAGCCUUUGCAGAAUCAUACAGUGGGUGGGUAGGGGGGCUGGAUCUUAAGCUUGCUCACUGGUGACCUGUUGGGGCUGGACUGCCUGAGGCUCCCCCUUUGGCUAAGAAUCAGGUGUGGGAGCUACGCCUGCUCCCUGGGAGGGCAGUUCCAUAGGGAUGGAGCCUGAGCAUCUGAAUUUCCAAAGCUCUGCGGUUGACUCUGAUGGACAGCCUGGGCCGAGACCCCCAGGCAAGGCUUCUGGAAAGAGUUGGCCCCGCUCACAGACGGGGAACCUUCUCUGGAACCUGCCCUGGCAGGAGUGCUGUUUUGGGAACGUGGGUUUCAGACUCACACCUCUCUGGGUUUGAGCCUUGGCUCUUCCCUUAAUGACCCUGUGACUUUAGACCAAGACUUCCCCUUUCUGAGCCUCAGAGUCCUUACCAGCGAAAUGGAAGGAGUUCCUCCAUAGCAGAGCCUGCCUGAGGUUGCUUAAUUAAUUAAGCAGAAAAAAUGUUGAUUGUAAAAAUGGGGGGUUCCCUAGGGCCACAGGACCCUUGAGUUCAACUGGAUGCUGGACUCUAGGUGUCUCCUUCCUCUGCCUUCUAGGCCUAUCAAUUCAUAGACCGGGCACCCAGGGAAAGACCAACCUCCAUGUGUGUCUGUUCCAAGUUCCCAAGUUAGGACCUCUGCUGGCUCCUGGUCCUUCACCUGUGCACAGGGGCCUCCUGUACAGUGCAGGGACUGUGGUUUCCCUGCAAGCGCCUGUUGUACUGAGGAGUUGCUAGCUCUGUGCAGAAUACUGCCACGCGGAGCUGGAGGGCAGAGGCACGUCCUCCCAGGUGAUGGGGCAUCCUCUUAAUAUUUGGAGCACAGACAGGACAGUGGCAAGGAGGGUAUGGGCCCCGCACACGGACAGGAGUAGUCUGGGCAUUGCCCUCGGCCUGUCCCCCGGGCCAGGCACCAAGGGCGCAGAGGGAGAGUCAAUUUCUCUAAGUGGAAGGAAGAAGCACUCUUCCAAGGGCUCUGGGCUUUGAAGGCCUUUCCUUAAACGAACAGGAGAGUUUAUUUAUCUUCGGUCAAGCUGUAUAAAUGUCAAAGGGCUGGCGACCCCUUUUAACUUGCAGUGCAGGGAUGGCUAGGUUAUUUGCUCAUGAGUCUGGAAGAGCCCCAGAGGGGAGGGCUUGAGCCCUUUGCCUGUCUGUUCACAUAAUCCAGACAGAGUAGAUGGCCCAUGAUGGCUGCCACUAAGUGACACCUGGCACGACUUAGGUGGCUUCAACACUGUCCUCCACUCAGCACACCACUCCGCCUACUGUUUCUCUGUUUCUCCCCCUUUUUCCCUUGGCUUGUCUCUUUUUUUCUUCCCCCCGCCUUUCCACUGUAGCUGUUAUCAAUCACGAUCCCCGCCCACCCCACCAUGCGCAUUUAUCAGCCCUCAUGAAUGACCAGAGGCUGUGGGCAUGUGGAGAUGGCGUCUCUUUCCAACCUCAGUUCCUGCCAUCUCAGUGAUGGCCCCAAACCUCUAGGCAGGAAAGAACAGGGACCAUGGGAGGCAUUGGAUGGGCACAUGGGACCCCAGCCUCCAAAUGCAGAGCUUCAACUUGCCAGCAACAUUUUUUUUUUUGUUUUGAGAUGGAGUUUCACUCUUGUUGCCCAGGCUGGAGUGCAAUGGCGUGAUCUCGGCUCACUGCAACCUCAGCCUCCCGGGUUCAAGUGAUUCUCCUGCCUCAGCCUCCAAGUAGCUGAGAUUACAGAUGACCGCCACCAUGCCUGGCUAAUUUUUGUAUUUUUAGUAGAGAUGGGGUUUCACCAUGUUGGCCAGGCUGGUCUCAAACUCCUGACCUCAGGUGAUCCACCCACCUCGGCCUCCCAAAGUGCUGGGAUUACAGGCAUGAGCCACUGCACCCGGCUCAGCAACAUUUUUUUACAUUAGGAGGGGAAAAGGCAAUGGGGCUGCAUAGAAAGUCUAAACACUACAUCUACGGACUAAAUCAUUUAAAAAAUAACUUGCGUAUGACUUAUGUUAAUUAUUUUACUUGACAUUAACACACUUACUUGAUCCACAUGUCCUGUUUGUUGAUAAUAAAUAAGUUAUACUGCUAUGACAAAUGUGUAUAUUUUUUCUUUUAAACAUUUUUAAAAGAGAUGGGGGGUCUCACUAUGUUUCCCAGGCUGGUCUGGAACUCCUGGACUCAAGCAAUCCUCCCACCUUGGCUUCCCAAAGUGCUGGGAUUAUAGGCGUGAGCCGCUGCACCUGCCCUGACAAAUUUAUAUUUUAAUGAGUUCAAUCUGAACUGACUUCCAUACAUGUUCUUUUCAGUCAGGGUGAUGGAGGUAUAAUUUGCAUACAAUAAAAUUUUUGCAUUUUGGCACACAGUUCUGUGCGUUUUGAUAAAUGCAGGCAGUCGUUCAACCAGCCCUGUAAUCAAGAUGUGAACAGUUCAUUUGCUCCUCCCAAAACAUUCCCUCAUGUUCCUUUGUAGUCAAAACUCCCUCUCUCCUUGGUCCCUGGAAACUAAUCAUCGGUGAUCUUUCCCUAUAGUUUCGUCUUUUCCAGAAUGUCAUAGAAAUGGAAUCAUAUGGUAGGUAGCCCUUUGAGUCUGGCUUUUUUUCCUUAGCAUAAUGCAUUUGAGACUCAUUCAUGCUGGUGUGUAUAACAGUAGUUUGUUGUUAUUACUGAGUAGCAUCCCAUUGUAUGGAUGUACCACAGUUUAUCUGUUUACCAAGUGAAUGAUGUUUAGAAUGUUUCUGUUUCAUUUUGUUUUGUUUUUUUGAGACAGGAUCUUGCUCUGUUGCCCAGGCUGCAUUGCGGUGGUGUGAUCAUAGCUCACUGCAGCCUCAAACUCCUGGGCUCAAGUGAUCCUCCUGCCUCAGCCUCCCAAGUAGCUGGGACUACCGGCAUGUGCCACCGUGCUUGGCUAAUUUUAAAAUUUUUGGUAGAGCUGGGGUCUCACUCUGUUGCCCAGGCUGGGCUUGAAUUCCUGGGAUCAAGUGAUUCUUUUGCCUUGGCCUCCCAAAGUGCUAGGAUUACAGGUGUGAGCCACUGUGCCUGACCUGCUUCUGGUUUUUAAAGAUGAAUAAGGCUGCUGUGAAUGUUGACAUACCGGGUUUUAUGGGAACAUAUGGUCCCAGUAUGGACUCUUGGGUUGUGUAGUACAUGUAUGCUUAACUUUGUAAGAAAUGGCUGUACCAUCUUGCAUUCCCAGCAGCAAUGAAUGAGAAUUCUGUAUCUCAGCCAAUACUUAAUAGUAUCAGAUUUUUAAAAAAUUCUAAGGCAGGGUGUGGUGGCUCAUGCCUGUAAUCCCAGCACUUUGGGAGGCCAAGGAAGGCAGAUUACCUGAGGUCGGGAGUUCGAGACCAGCCUGGCCAACAUGGUGAAACCCCGUCUCUACUAAAAAUACAAAAAUUAGCCAUGCGUGGUGGCGCGUGCCUGUAAUCCCAAAUACUUGGGAGACUGAGGCAGGAGAAUCGCUUAAACCUGGGAGGCGGAGGUUGCAGGGAGCCAAGAUUGCGCCAUUGCACUCAAGGUCUCCCACCUUUGCUACCACUAGAAUUUGUAACAUCGACGAGUGCAAACCUGAUUUUCUCUGGGUCCCAGGGUCCUUUUUCUUCCCCCUGAAGAUCACCUCAGUUUUUGAAAAGGUGCCCUGGAGGUUCUGCUGUUCUUUAGCUUUGAUGGGUUCUGCAAACCCUGUGAGCUCCUCAGUGCCCAGCAAGCCUGUGAGCAUGACUUUUGUGAGCUCUGCCAGAUGAACGGCUUAGAAGUCCUGGAGAGAGGCACUGGGAAAGCAUUUCCAUGCUCCUCCUUCCUCUUGGAUGGGAUGUGGCCAGAGAACACAGAAACCUACCAGUGAAUAAAGAGAACUCAGUUCUCUACCCUUGGAACCAUCGAGGAGCUGGGAUUUGCUUUAGAGAGGGGCAGCCCUUGGCAUCUCCAUGCUGGGAGUGGAGCUUCUGGCUUCUUAAGAAGUUGGUUACAAUAGGCAGCCUCUGUGCUUUGGCCUGUUUGGAUGUUUUCUGCUGUUCUCAGGUGGAAAAAGCAGAUUUUGUUGCUGCCUACCUUUUGAAGACCAGGAUGGAAUGGAGCUACCUUCUGGGCACUUUCCUCAAAAGGGCCUGUGUGUUCUGGAACCAGGGCCUUCUGAUGCAUGAGAACCAAGGCAGCUAGUGUGUGUGUGUGUCUGUGUGUGUGUGCGUGCGUGUGUGUGCUCAUCUCUAAAAUCUGCCUAUGGCAAGUCUCAGGUGGCUGCUGGCAGCUCCUUGGGGCUCCCUGCUGUUUUGGGUCAUGUCUAGUAACAGAGAGCUUCUCUUUUCCAGCGUUUCAGGCAAAGGUUCCUAGCUUCGCACUAAUUGGUCUGGGUUGGUUGAUGUGCCUACCUUUGAACCCAUUCCCUGUGGCAAAGGGAUGGGAAAUUCACUGACUGGCUUAGCGUGGGUCUUGCGCUGUAUCCCUGGACCCAGGGAUGGAGUCAGCCUUCUGAGACCAACACAGAUCCCCAAUUUAGAAAUGGAGGCUGAGCUGGGCUCGGUGGCUCAUACCUGUAAUCCCAGCACUUUGGGAGGCCAAGGCAGUCAGAUUGCUUUAGCUCAGGAGUUCAAGACCAGCCUGGGCAACAUAGUGAGACCUCUGCCCCUUGUCUGUACAAAAAGUUAAGAAGCAAAGCAUGGUGGCACAUGCCUGUGGUCCCAGCUAGUUGGAAAGCUGAGGUGGGAGGUUGGCUUGAACCCAGGAGGUCAAGGCUGCAGUGAGCCGUAUUGUGCCACUGCACUUCAGCCUGGGCAACAGAGCGAGACCCUGUCUCAAAAAAAAAAAAAAAAAAAAAGAGAGAGAGAAACAGAGGCUGUUGGGAAAAGGGCAUAAAGGGCAUGGAUGCUAGAGAGGAGAUCAACAGGUAUUGUCUUAUGAAGGUUGGGAAGGUCAAGGGCAGGUGGCCACAUCCUUUGAGGUAGAUGCUCACAAGAGGAUUGUGCAGUGUGCAGGUAGAGGCCCACACUGGGUGUGAGUGUGCAGUGUGCAGGUAGAGGCCCACACUGGGUGUGAGUGUGUAGUGUGCAGGUAGAGGCCCACACUGGGUGUGAGUGUGUAGUGUGCAGGGGUGGUGCCCACACUGGGGAGUGUGCAGUGUGCAGGGGAGGUGGUGUGUUGGCCUAGGGACUGUUGGUGCCUCUUACACUCAACACCAGCAGGAAGAUGGCCUCGACUCAGUGACCAUGUGGGUUGGGCCGAGGGCAAACACAAAGACGGAAGCCAGCCCUUGUCUCUGGGGAGCUUAGCUAGGGUGCCCUGGUGGGAGACAGGCUUCCUUUCUCUCAGUUUCCUGGAUCCUCUUCAAUAAAGAGCCCCCCUCCACGGUUCUGCCCCUUACCAAUGUUGUUUCUAGCUCCAUCCCAUCCUUCUACACCCAGAGUGUUGCUUUUUUUUUUUUUCUGUGGCGGAGUCUCACUCUGUUGCCCAGGCUGGAGUGCAGUGGCACAAUCUCGGUUCACUGCAAGCUCUGCCUCCUGGGUUCACGCCAUUCUCCUGCCUCAGCCUCCCAAGUAGCUGGGACUACAGGCACCUGCCACCACGCCCAGCCAAUUUUUUUUUGUAUUUUUAGUAGAGACGGGGUUUUACCGUGUUAGCCAGGAUGGCAGAAUGUUGCUUCUAAUCAAAGCAAUUCUUGCACAUGGGAACAAGUUCCAGCACAGGGGAGCCCGUGAUGGCAAACCACGGCUGUUGAGUGUCUACCCUUAUAUUUCUAAAUCAAAUGCUUAGCUUUAAAUAGCAUCGCUGACCUGACUGUGGACGUGAGUUUCUAGCAUACUCUGACCAUGGUCCUUUGUAUUGCUUGACAUCUAAUUGUUUUAUUGUCUGUCUUUGCAAUUAAGAAAAAUCUAUUGUUAGAAAUUCUUCACUUUGGGAGGCUGAGGCAGGCAGAUCACCUGAGUUCAGGAGUUUGAGACCAGCCUGGCCAACAUGGCGAAACCCCAUCUCUACUAAAAAUACAAAAAUUAGCUGGGCAUGGUGGCACACGCCUGUAGUCCCAGCUACUCAGGAGGCUGAGGUAGGAGAAUUGCUGGAACCCGGGAGGUGGAGGUUGCAGUAAGCCAAGAUUGAGCCAUUGCACUCCAGCCUGGGUGACAGAGCAAGACUCCCUCUCAAAAAAAAAAAAAAAAAAAAGAAAAGAAAUUCUUUAUUCUUCUACUUAUUUCAUCAACAUUAGGUCAUCUACUGGAAAACAUCAUGCAGACUGCCACUGGGAGCCAGGGUCAGACUCUCUGGUUUCAAAUCCUAGGGCCUCUGUUUUCUCCUCUGUGAAAAGAAACUAACAAUCAAAUCUACCACCUAGGGAUGUCUGGAGGAUUCCGUGGCCAAGGCACAUCAAGGGCUCAGCCAGGUGGAGACCCGCGAUUUGGGCCCGUGGGGUGGAGCUGAUCCCUGGGCGACCUCCAGUCCACAGGCCAUGGCCCAGAGGGCAGGAGAGGUGUCACUUUCGUGGCCCCUCAACCAGGCCUGGGAUGGCUGUUUUGUCUGAGCACACCAGUCUUGCCCAAGUCUGAAUGUUCAGCCCUCCUUGUGCCCAAGAUCCUCUGCAGGGGAAGAGAAAAAGAGAGCGAGAGCGAGCACGCCCGGGAGCUGGGCGCCCGGGAGCUGGGUGCCCGGGAGCUGGGCGCAUGCACACUUAGCAUGUCCUCUGCGUACCCAGUGCAGCCGCUGUUAAAAAUAGAACUGUGCUUUGCAGAGAGAUUCUCAAAUGACACCCACCAAGUGCCCAUUAACUCAUCAAAGUGGUGAUUCCAAAUUGAUUAUUUCGAGUGUAAGACAUAAUAACAUGUUCAUCAUGGAAAAUAAUUAGCGGUGGAGUGGGGCCGGGAUGGCCUGCUGCCUGCCUGCCUGGCUCCCCCCUGCAGCCGAGAGGGAGGGGUGGGUGGGCGCCAGGGCUUGAUGUGGUUUUCACUGGGAGAGUUGGUGACUUACGACUAAUACUCACCCUGCCACCCAGCCCCUCCCUUAGCCUGACUGGCCAGCCAGGCCCUCUCCCAGGCAUGGUGUGGGUCUCCUGUAGCCCCCGAGCCCCCUCCACUCUGUCCUGGGCCAGCCUCUCCUUUUUGGCUCCUCCAAGUGGGCAGUAAUUGGCUGGGCUCCAGCUGGGAGCCUGGGUUAUGGUUGACACACAUUUCUCACUUGCCGAGUGCGGGCAGCCGCUGCGCACCUUCACACCGUUUCCUUGGAAACCAAAUUGCUUUGGCAGCAUUCCACGGACACACACACACACACACACUCUCAUGCACAUGUGUGCCCCACGAGAAAAUCAAGUGCUAUGGGAGCUGUCAUCUCACUUGCCCUCCACCCCUUUCCCCUGGAGCCCCUGUGCCCCUGCCAGGCAGCCCUAAACCCAGGCUGAGACCCCACAGGGGGAUGGUUGGAAAUGCUCCCCUCUGGGGAAGGCAGAUGAAGCGUCUCCUAGAAGAGCCGGCGUCUGCUGAGGUAGCAGAUUGAGCAAGAUGUUUAUGGGCACUUAGAUGGGAAAAUGGCUCCUGAGGGUGUGAGGAGAGCAGCCAGCUCAUGAAAUGAGGACGGGGCUCUGGAAGCCUCCCAGCAUCCUCGGAGGGGGCUUUGGUCCAGAUCCGUGUCCCUGGGGGCGAGGUGGGCUGUGCAGGAAGGGCCUCUGCAGCUGCUGCGCCCCUGCCCACCUCUCAGCCAGCUCUCUUCUCCCUUCCCACCUUCCCUUGCUGCUUUGCACGCCCCAGGUAGAAAACAUCGUAGCAGGAAAUACUUGGGAAAAGGCUGUCCUCGCCCUGAUUGGGGGAUGUCCACCGUCACCCGCUCCAGUCCUGGGAAGCUCAUUCCUCCUGCUCAGCUCCAGCUGAGUCCUUCUCCUGGACUUGCCUUCAGCCAGAGACAGUGGGCUUCCCAAAUUCAUGCCGCCCUCCACAGGCAGCUUGCAGCCCACGCUGGCCGGUGCAGGGGAUAAAGGCCUGUGCAGGAGAUAAAGGCUGGGAUGCCAAGAGUCAACUGGAGCAACCUUCCUCACCUCCUCCCCAGCUCCAGAGCUGCCUGUUAGGAUGGCUGAGGCUUUGUUGCAGCUGCAUUGCAGCUGGAUGUCUCCAAACUCCUGCACGCGGAUCUCCAUCUCUGACUCAGCUCCCCAAUGUCCUUCAGCUAACCGUGACCUUCCUUACUUCCAUCCCUUCUUCCGUAAUCCUUUAAACAGCUGCUAUGUGCUGAGCACUGUCAACAAGACCAGGUUCCCAUUUGCAGGGAGCGUGUGUUCUGGUCAGCACAGGUGGAAAAGAAACAGUAAAAAAAAAAAAAGAGGGCAAGAAGUGCCCCCGCAGGGUUGAAAUAGGUGCUGUGCUAGCAAUUGCCAGGGGUAGGGGCUUCUUUCUUUCUUCCUUUCCUUCCUUCCCUUCCUUCCCUUCCUUCCCUUCCUUCCCUUCCUUCCCUUCCCUUCCUUUCCUCCUUACCUUCCUUUUUCCCUUUCCUUCCCUUCUCUUUCUCUUUCUCUUUUUUUGAGGCAGAGUCUUGCUCUAUUACCCAGGCUGGAGUGCAGUGGCGCAAUUUUGGCUCACUGCAACCUCCGCCUCCCAGGUUCAAGUGAUUCUCCUGCCUCAGCCUCCCAAGUAGCUGGGAUUACAGGCACCUACCAUCAUGCCUGGCUAAUUUUUGUAUUUUUGUAGAGACGGGGUUUCACCAUGUUGGCCAGGCUUGUCUUGAACUCCUGACCUAAGGUGAUCCGUCUGCCUCAGCCUCCCAAAGUGCUGGGAUUACAGGCGCGAGCCGCCGCGCCCGGCCUGCAUCAGCACCCACAGUUCUUACAGGGGUCUGGACACUUAGGCACCUUCUGCUUGGCACACCCCAAAAUUCCAGACUCCCAGAAGGAAAGCAGGUGCUCACCACGAGCCACAUUUUUUACACACGUAGCCUAGGCACAGGGAGCCACGCUUGCGUUAGGGAAUGGGCCACGCUUCUGCAAUCGUGUCCCCAGAUGCCGCCAAGGGCUGGCCUUCCAGGCAGGCCUUUCCAAGGGGAGCAGUCUUGGGCCAGAAAUGGCAGCCCUUUCCUGGGCGGGGACAGGGACACCCUUCCACUGUGAAAUCAUUCCAUUUUCCUGCCUAGGAUUUAGUGCCUUUCAUGUGUUUGGGUUCUGCCAGCUGGCGGGGAAUCACGGGGCAAUUUCAGUCACUCAAGUUUCUUUCCCAAUCCAGGAGAAACCUCAAGUCUCACUAAGAAAGUGGUAGAAGGAGAGUAACAGGCUUGGUUUGCAGGGGGUGGGGGUGGGGGUGGGGGUCAAGACCCUUAGACGAGCUGCAGCUCCUUGCUGAGAACGUGCACACACUCAAAAUUUGUGGGGGGCCCAUGGUCCUCUGGGGCUCCUCCGGCACCCCAGGUGAAGCUUCUGAAAUGGCUUUUCCACCUGGACAAUCCCUCCCUCCCCAGGUGGAAGGUGAGGGGGUUCUGCUUCUCCCCGGGCAGAAGCAGAACCACAGCCCCUUUGUCCCCUUUGCCAGAGGCUUCAAGGGGCAGCGUCCCCCAGCGCCCCCCGAGCAAGCUCCCCAUCUGACAAGGGAGGCCCUAGCUCAUCCCAGAAGCAUCAGAGUCAUCCUUCACACUCACCACCAUGCUGAGGACCCAGAGGGGCUCAUGCCUCCAGUGUCAGACAGGAUUGAGAUCCAGGCUGUCUGGCUCCGGGGUCUUAGCCCUGACACUCGACUUCAGAGGGAGUUCUUGCCUGGGAGUGCCUUCAAAGCACAGUCCCUGGACACUUUCCCCUGCGACAUUUAGUCCUUUAAGGAGGCUGUAAGCACGUUGACCUGCCCCAGAGCCAGUCGUGCCCUCACGUCCCUCAGGACGGCCCACCAUGGCCAAGCACAGGCCAGAGAACAGCCUUGUUGUUGGCGUCAGGACUGUUGGCAUCAGGGUCCUGCUUGUCAGGUUAGGAACGUGGUUCCUUUACCUGCACCUCCAGGUGAUGCUGUCUCCAUCCUUAGAACCUGAAGGCCUAGGUCCCUAAAAGUAGCAGCAGCAGCAGUAGUAGUAGCAGUAAUAGUAGGAGAAGGAGGAGCUGAAGACCUCACAAUAAUCAUUGCCCAACCGCGUGAACCAGCCCAUCUUAAGCAUGGAACACACACUGUCGAAUUCUCACACCUCCUUUUGGAGCGGGUUCUCUCAAUUAUCCCAUUUACAGACAAAGAAUCUGAGACUCCAAGGGGCUAAAUGAUUUGCUCAAAGUCAGGGUAAGUGUGAGAACUGGAGCCGAAACCCAGCCUGCUGGACCUGAGCCCCUGACUCUCAACCUUAAGCCACGCUGUCUCCCAUGGAUCCCUCCAGGGCCAGGCAGUUGGUGCUCAAUAAUUGCAUACUGCGUGGAGGUGAGCUGGGCUCUGGGUGUGGCCAGGUGGUGUCCCUGGAGGGCUCAGCACACCUUUCUCAGGUAGGUGGUAUUAGGCAGUGGGCUCAUGUGGUCCUGAUUCAGAGGCGGAGAAUGGGAGUGUUUCAGGGAUGCAGGUAUGAGCCUGGUCCUAGCACGCAUCUCUAGGUGGGGACAGACUCCUCUCAGCCACCCCAUUGCCCAGUGAUAGUUCCUUUGCACUGAUGCUGUCACAUCCUUGUCAUUCUGGGGGAUUAAACUCUGCCCUCUGGAUGUGUUCAUGGGCAGCUCAGUAAUACAAAGAAGUCAUUCAUAAGUUUACUUUGCUUUCGACUGCCCUUUCAUGGUAACGUUGGUUCAAGGGAAUCCUGUGAUUCCCCAAAUGUGGGGAGCAAAUCGAGUCACCAUGAGUCACCUCCCCAGGCUGAUGUCUUCUCUGGCACAUGUGGCCACGGGGGAGCCAGGAUGGGUCUCCUUCCUCACUCCAUCUGCUCGCUGGGUCUUGGUCUCAGGUGCCUCUUCCCUUCACUGCCUGUCUUUUAUUCCUCUGUCUACCCUCUCCUCAUACAGAAAUUGGGAUUUCUCAUACAGAGAAAUGGAGUGAUUGCUCCUGAUUGCACAGCCGGGAGGGCUGUACACUGGAGCCCCUCCUGCUGCAAUUAACUUAUUUUCCACCCCUGCGGUGUGUGGUUCCUGGAGCAACGCCUGCUACCUGCUUCUCUGCCCCAUCCUCUGUGAGGAAGGGUCCAUGCUGUUCCUUUUUCUGUCUCAAAAAUGUGCUCAUGUGCCCCAAGUUGUGUGAACCACCGACUCUGUGCUCCUUCCAGGCCCUGACCAGUGUGUUUGAGCAUUAAAGCUCGCAGGUACAUCAAAGGUGCUCAGUAAAUGCUGGAUAAAUCAAUCCAUGCUUUCCUGGGCUCUCCUGGUGGGAUGCAUUCUUUUAGCUAAGCGUCCCUGCCAGGGGAGUGGUUGGUUUCCAUGAGGCCAGAGGGGGAAAAGCUGGUUGACCCCUAUCCUGGGCAUUCAGAGUCAUUUCCCGCUCCUUUCUGUGGCUGGAACCAGAAGAAUAUAUCUCAGGUCUAAUAGGGUAUGGACUGCAUAAAGCCUGGGAUUUUUGUGCAUUCUGUUCAUGACAAUGUCUCUAGCCUGUUGAACAGCCCAUAGUAGGCACUCAGCAAACCAAUAGGAACUGAGGGGGUCAAGGAAAUGCCCUGUGAUCCCCCUGAAUCCAACCCCUCUGUCUUUGCCCACCUUUCCUCCGUUAAAACACAGCCUAUAUCAAUGAGGGCCUGGGAGAAAACUGGGGUGGGGGAGGACUGUGCCUCUCUUGACCUUCAUUUACAAAAAAUAAGUUGGCUCCUAGACCCGUGUUGGAGCCACACUGCCCGGGACAGCCCUGAAGCAGCCACGUCCCCACCUUUCAGGAGUCGGCCAAGAGCACGGUGGCUGCAGAAGGCCCUGGCUGAUGGAGAUAACAUUUGACAAACAGGUGCUUUUCCAAUUAUGGAUAACAACAGAAAAGCAGUCAUUGGUUUCUAAAAGGUCAUCAAGAUAUAAAGCCCGUUUGGGAAGGGAAUGACUUACGCAGUGGGCUUGUAUAAAUCUGGAGAAGUUUUAUGCACAAGUCGGACAAGAAAUGCUAUUGAGAGUGAAAACAAGCACUGACAUGAACACCCAACCAGCUGCCGGUGACAUCGUCCCCUUCUGAGAUCUGAGGACAUGGAUACCCAACCACCUGCCGGUGACAUCGUCUCCUUCUGAGAUCUGAGGACAUGAACACCCAACCACCUGCCGGUGAUAUCGUCCCCUUCUGAGAUCUGAGGACGUGGAUAUCCAACCACCUGCCGGUGACAUUGUCUCCUUCUGAGAUCUGAGGACAUGGACACCAAACCACCUGCCGGUGACAUUGUCUCCUUCUGAGAUCUGAGGACAUGAACACCAAACCACCUGCCAGUGACAUCGUCCCCUUCUGAGAUCUGAGGACAUGGAUACCCAACCACCUGCCGGUGACAUCGUCUCCUUCUGAGAUCUGAGGACAUGGACACCCAACCACCUGCCGGUGACAUCGUCUCCUUCUGAGAUCUGAGGACAUGAACACCCAACCACCUGCCGGUGAUAUCGUCCCCUUCUGAGAUCUGAGGACGUGGAUAUCCAACCACCUGCCGGUGACAUUGUCUCCUUCUGAGAUCUGAGGACAUGGACACCAAACCACCUGCCGGUGACAUUGUCUCCUUCUGAGAUCUGAGGACAUGAACACCAAACCACCUGCCAGUGACAUCGUCCCCUUCUGAGAUCUGAGGACAUGGAUACCCAACCACCUGCCGGUGACAUCAUCUUCUUCUGAGAUCUGAGGACAUGGACACCCAACCACCUGCCGGUGACAUCGUCUCCUUCUGAGAUCUGAGGACAUGGACACCAAACCACCUGCCGGUGACAUCGUCUCCUUCUGAGAUCUGAGGACAUGAACACCCAACCACCUGCCGGUGAUAUCGUCCCCUUCUGAGAUCUGAGGACGUGGAUAUCCAACCACCUGCCGGUGACAUUGUCUCCUUCUGAGAUCUGAGGACAUGGACACCAAACCACCUGCUGGUGACAUUGUCUCCUUCUGAGAUCUGAGGACAUGAACACCAAACCACCUGCCAGUGACAUCGUCCCCUUCUGAGAUCUGAGGACAUGGAUACCCAACCACCUGCCGGUGACAUCAUCUUCUUCUGAGAUCUGAGGACAUGGACACCCAACCACCUGCCGGUGACAUCGUCUCCUUCUGAGAUCUGAGGACAUGGACACCAAACCACCUGCCGGUGACAUCGUCUCCUUCUGAGAUCUGAGGACAUGAACACCCAACCACCUGCCGGUGACAUCGUCCCCUUCUGAGAUCUGAGGACAUUGAUACCCAGCCACCUGCCGGUGACAUCGUCUCCUUCUGAGAUCUGAGGAUAUGGACACCAAACCACCUGCCGGUGACAUCGUCUCCUUCUGAGAUCUGAGGACAUGAACACCCAACCACCUGCCGGUGACAUCGUCCCCUUCUGAGAUCUGAGGACAUGGAUACCCAACCACCUGCCGGUGACAUCGUCUCCUUCUGAGAUCUGAGGACAUGGACACCCAACCUGCUGCUGGUGACAUCGUUCCCUUCUGAGAUCUGAGGACAUGGACACCAAACCACCUGCCAGUGACAUCGUCUCCUUCUGAGAUCUGAGGACAUGGACACCAAACCUGCUGCCGGUGACAUCGUCCCCUUCUGAGAUCUGAGGACAUGGACACCCAACCACCUGCCGGUGACAUCGUCUCCUUCUGAGGUCUGAGGACAGACACUCACAUGGACACCUAAACACCUGCCGAUGAUAUUGUCUCCUUCUGAAAUCUGAGGACAUGGACACCCAACCAGCUGCUGGUGACAUCAUCUCCUUCUGAGAUCUGAGGACAGACACUCACAUAGACGCCCAAUCAGCUGCUGGUGACAUUGUCUCCUUCUGAAAUCUGAGGGUUGGAACACAUUGGCCUGGCUCAGUGUUUCUCCAUGUGGUUUUGAGACCACCUGAGUUGGAACCGAUAUGGGUUCCCAGCCUCACGCCUGGAGAGCUGGAUUUUGCGAGUGUGAGGUUAGGUCCAGCAUCUGCAUGUGUAACGAGCUCCCAGGUGUUUCGUAGAUGCAUUAGGGCUUGAGAAGCUCCUUUCUAGCACCAUCUUCCUUUUUGCGCAUGAGGGAGUUCAGGUCCAGAGAAAUAAAGCAGCAAGGUUAGUGGCACAGCUGGCGCCCCCUGCUUUCUAGGAAUUUAGAAUAUUAUUGAAGAGAGAGGUAUUAGAACCUGUGAAGUCAAUACAGAGACCUCCAGGCGAGUGGCAUCCUCACUGAAACCACUGACAAGUAUGCUGAAUAGAAAGUGUCAUUUCUCCUGGAAGACCCUCAGUGACCCAGCUGGAGGGUCUCUCCUACUCAUCAGCUGUCCCUCACUCUGCCAUUUCAG